AUAUAAACUGGGCAAAAGACUAUACUUUUGAGGAGGUUUUGAAGAGAUUAUAAGAACUGUUAAAGCAAACUUCUAGGCGGGAAACCGCGCACAGGUUCGAGUCCUGUUGUGUGCGCCA
RNAcentral lists this transfer RNA (118 nucleotides) under Caudoviricetes sp. RNAcentral's name for it is "tRNA-OTHER". The record is from RNAcentral. Lineage: Duplodnaviria; Heunggongvirae; Uroviricota; Caudoviricetes.